This 496-nucleotide ribosomal RNA is filed under the name uncultured bacterium. RNAcentral's name for it is "partial 16S ribosomal RNA". It matches the Rfam family "Bacterial small subunit ribosomal RNA", at positions 28 to 506 of the family's 1533-position model. The record is from RNAcentral.
GAUGAACGCUGGCGGCGUGCCUAAUACACGCAAGUCGAGCGAACGGACGAGAAGCUUGCUUCUCUGAUGUUAGCGGCGGACGGGUGAGUAACACGUGGAUAACCUACCUAUAAGACUGGGAUAACUUCGGGAAACCGGAGCUAAUACCGGAUAAUAUUUUGAACCGCAUGGUUCAAAAGUGAAAGACGGUCUUGCUGUCACUUAUAGAUGGAUCCGCGCUGCAUUAGCUAGUUGGUAAGGUAACGGCUUACCAAGGCAACGAUGCAUAGCCGACCUGAGAGGGUGAUCGGCCACACUGGAACUGAGACACGGUCCAGACUCCUACGGGAGGCAGCAGUAGGGAAUCUUCCGCAAUGGGCGAAAGCCUGACGGAGCAACGCCGCGUGAGUGAUGAAGGUCUUCGGAUCGUAAAACUCUGUUAUUAGGGAAGAACAUAUGUGUAAGUAACUGUGCACAUCUUGACGGGACCUAAUCAGAAAGCCACGGCUAACUACGU